CUGGUACAAUGCGAAGCGAAGCAGUGAUGUGAAGCAAAUCGCACCAAAGCCAGUCCCAGUUCGGAUAAGAGGCUGAAACUCGCCUCUUUGAAGUCGGAAUCGCUAGUAAUCGCAGAUCAGCAUGUUGCGGUGAAUACGUUCCCGGGUCUUGUACACACCGCCCGUCAAACCAUGAGAGUCACCAACACCCGAAGUCCGCCUUGGCGGCCUAAGGUGGGGGAGAUGAUUGGGGUUAAGUCGUAACAAGGUAUC
RNAcentral lists this ribosomal RNA (252 nucleotides) under uncultured bacterium. RNAcentral's name for it is "partial 16S ribosomal RNA". It matches the Rfam family "Bacterial small subunit ribosomal RNA", at positions 1234 to 1500 of the family's 1533-position model. The record is from RNAcentral.